GCCAACGAGUGGCGACGGGUGAGUAACACGUAGGUAACCUGCCCAGAAGCGGGGGACAACAUUUGGAAACAGAUGCUAAUACCGCAUAACAACGUUGUUCGCAUGAACAACGCUUAAAAGAUGGCUUCUCGCUAUCACUUCUGGAUGGACCUGCGGUGCAUUAGCUUGUUGGUGGGGUAAUGGCCUACCAAGGCGAUGAUGCAUAGCCGAGUUGAGAGACUGAUCGGCCACAAUGGGACUGAGACACGGCCCAUACUCCUACGGGAGGCAGCAGUAGGGAAUCUUCCACAAUGGGCGCAAGCCUGAUGGAGCAACACCGCGUGAGUGAAGAAGGGUUUCGGCUCGUAAAGCUCUGUUGUUAAAGAAGAACACGUAUGAGAGUAACUGUUCAUACGUUGACGGUAUUUAACCAGAAAGUCACGGCUAACUACGUGCCAGCAGCCGCGGUAAUACGUAGGUGGCAAGCGUUAUCCGGAUUUAUUGGGCACUAAAGAGAGUGCAGGCGGUUUUCUACAGUCUGAUGUGAAAGCCUUCGGCUUAACCGGAGAAGUGCAUCGAAAACUGGAUAACUUGAGUGCAGAAGAGGGUAGUGGAACUCCAUGUGUAGCGGUGCGAAUGCGUAGAUAUAUGCAAGACACCAGUGGCGAAGGCGGCUACCUGGUCUGCAACUGACGCGCUGAGACUCGAAAGCAUGGUAGCGAACACGGAUUAGAUACCCUGGUAGUCCAUGCCGUAAACGAUGAGUGCUAGGUGUUG
Molecule: ribosomal RNA, 756 nt
Filed under: Limosilactobacillus fermentum
Lineage: Bacteria; Bacillati; Bacillota; Bacilli; Lactobacillales; Lactobacillaceae
Description: bacterial SSU rRNA
Rfam family: Bacterial small subunit ribosomal RNA
Source: RNAcentral